CUCAUCUGUGUGGGUGUUUGUCUGACAUGUGAACAAGACAUUGAGAGAGGUGCAAAAACAAAUCCUCUUUUGCAACACAGAAUUCAUUGUUCUGUGUGAGUUCUAAUACAGACAAAAAGGAACAUG
RNAcentral lists this small nucleolar RNA (126 nucleotides) under Sorex araneus (European shrew). Its description in RNAcentral is "Small nucleolar RNA SNORA40 (ENSSARG00000017538.1)". It matches the Rfam family "Small nucleolar RNA SNORA40". Rfam says of the family: The snoRNA ACA 40 belongs to the H/ACA family of snoRNAs and guides the pseudouridylation of 28S rRNA subunit at position U4565. The record is from RNAcentral. Lineage: Eukaryota; Metazoa; Chordata; Mammalia; Eulipotyphla; Soricidae.